UGGGGAAUUUUGGACAAUGGGCGAAAGCCUGAUCCAGCAAUGCCGCGUGUGUGAAGAAGGCCUUCGGGUUGUAAAGCACUUUUGUCCGGAAAGAAAUCCUUGGCUCUAAUACAGUCGGGGGAUGACGGUACCGGAAGAAUAAGCACCGGCUAACUACGUGCCAGCAGCCGCGGUAAUACGUAGGGUGCAAGCGUUAAUCGGAAUUACUGGGCGUAAAGCGUGCGCAGGCGGUUUGCUAAGACCGAUGUGAAAUCCCCGGGCUCAACCUGGGAACUGCAUUGGUGACUGGCAGGCUAGAGUAUGGCAGAGGGGGGUAGAAUUCCACGUGUAGCAGUGAAAUGCGUAGAGAUGUGGAGGAAUACCGAUGGCGAAGGCAGCCCCCUGGGCCAAUACUGACGCUCAUGCACGAAAGCGUGGGGAGCAAACAGGAUUAGAUACCCCGGUAGUCCACGCCCUAAACGAUGUCAACUAGUUGUUGGGGAUUCAUUUCCUUAGUAACGCAGCUAACGCGCGAAGUUGACCGCCUGGGGAGUACGGUCGCAAGAUUAAAACUCAAAGGAAUUGACGGGGUCAUAGCUGUUUCCU
This 585-nucleotide ribosomal RNA is filed under the name uncultured bacterium. RNAcentral describes it as "partial 16S ribosomal RNA". It matches the Rfam family "Bacterial small subunit ribosomal RNA", at positions 355 to 1375 of the family's 1533-position model. The record is from RNAcentral.